RNAcentral lists this RNase P RNA (452 nucleotides) under Phycisphaerales bacterium. RNAcentral describes it as "RNase P RNA component class A". It matches the Rfam family "Bacterial RNase P class A". From Rfam's summary of the family: Ribonuclease P (RNase P) is a ubiquitous endoribonuclease, found in archaea, bacteria and eukarya as well as chloroplasts and mitochondria. Its best characterised activity is the generation of mature 5'-ends of tRNAs by cleaving the 5'-leader elements of precursor-tRNAs. The record is from RNAcentral. Lineage: Bacteria; Pseudomonadati; Planctomycetota; Phycisphaerae; Phycisphaerales.
AGACGCAGCAAGGCGGCUGCUCAUGGGCAUCAGGCCCAUGGGAGGAAAGUCCGAGCACGAAAGGACACGAUGGUGGGUAACGCCCACCCGCCCCAACACACCCGCGAGGGUCCGGCUGGGGGCGAGGGACAGUGCCACAGAGAACAUACCGCCGAUGGAUCGGUCCGCCGAUCACAGGUAAGGGUGAAAAGGUGCGGUAAGAGCGCACCGCCCGUCUGGCGACAGACGGGGCACGGUAAACCCCAUCGCGUGCAAGCCCAAGCAGAGCUCGUGUGGUCCGCACGAUGAGCUCGGGUCGGGUGCUGGGAGCACUCGCUCCUCACCACGCCGGCAACGGCGUGGGCAGAGAAAUAGUCGCCCAGAGGCGCAGGUCCGCUCGCGAGCCCCCGUCAUAAGGAGGCGAUCGGAAACCACGCCUCGGACAGAACUCGGCUUACCAGCUGCGUCCAGCC